This 2601-nucleotide long non-coding RNA is filed under the name Homo sapiens (human). RNAcentral describes it as "HSALNT0120139". The record is from RNAcentral. Lineage: Eukaryota; Metazoa; Chordata; Mammalia; Primates; Hominidae.
UUUGCCGCUGGCUUUUGAGCUAUUCUUAAUCCUGUCAGCACAAUUAAUGAGGGAAAAAUAGUUCCCAGAAGAAAAGUAGCUGGAGGCACUGACCUGCCCUCCAACCCCCUCAUGCCAAGAGGUGCAAAGUCUAGAGAAAGUUUCCCCGGUGAGAGUUACUGGGAAAAUGACUCUCGGUCCUGGGUAAAACUUUCUUUCUUUGUCAACCUCAAGGGCAAGUUAGUUUAUGGCCAAGAAUAUACACGGUGCUUCAAAUGCAAAGGAAGACACUCUCUCUUCAAAUGGUUUACGGCUUAGAUGGGGAAGAAAUGUCUACACUCUAGAAAUGAAAUGAUGAAAGGACCUUACAGAGCAGGGGUACUCCUGAGCGAGCCAGGGGAUUCACAGAGAUGACCUCUUGCUAGGUUACCCAGGCUGGACUUGAACUCCUGGGCUCAAGUGAUCGACCUGUUUCAGCCUCCUGAGUAGCUGGGAGUACAGGUGCAUAUCACCAUGGCUGGCAACUUGCCUUGAUUCUUUGCUUCAUCUGAAUUUUGGAAGAUUGGUGACAUUAUCAUUGGUAUCAGUGGAACAACUAUCCUGAUUUGCCUCGGAUUGAGAGAUUUCUUGGCAUGGGGGCUUUGAGUGCUAAAACUGAGUCAGUCCCAGGUAAGGCUUGGUCACCCUAUCCCAUCCCUGCACAGCCCUUUGAGGCAAGCUGACGAACACACCUUUCUCCUCCACCAAGAGGCAGCUCAUGUCUCCCACCCUGUCCAUCCUAAACAAAAGAAUCCUCAUACAGGGGAAAUACACAAUAUGGAUGUGCUGAAGUAAUACAAGAAAGAAUGACAUGCCCUGGUCUUCCAACACUGGUCUGUACCCAACUAGAAAAGAGGACUGGCUUGGGAAUUAGCAGACAAGCUCAAUUAUUAACUUUUGUGUUAACUUUUGCCAAGCGACUAAUUUACUGCCACUGAGUUUUCCUGUCUGUAAAGAGGGGCAACAACUAGAGGUCUCUAAGCUUUCUUCUCCAUUAUACACUCCAAAGCUUGAUUGUAUAGGAACCAAUACAGUGCCUCCACCCUGCCCGAACUCAUUGUAUCCUUAAGUCCCAGAAAUUGCACACCAAGCCAUCUUGGAGGCCUCUCUUUUAGCUCAGCCCAAAUAAUGAACCCAGCUCAGGGUCAGACAUGGGGUAGAGUCUCAGCGCUUUUGCUCAGGGGUAGACCCUUUAGCUUAGUGCUGUCUGAUAAAAUUUUCUGCAGUGAUGAAAAUAUUCUGCAUUUGAACUGUCCAAUAUGGUAGCCAUUAGUCACAUGACUAUAUUUUAAAUUUAUUAAAAUGAAAUUUAAAUUUUAGUUCCUGAGUCAGAAUAAUCACAUUUCAAGGGCUCACUAGCCACAUAUAGCUAAUGGCUACAAUAUUGGACAGUGCCAACUGAGAACACUUCCAUCAUUGCGAGUUGUUCUAUUGAGCACCAUAGUUUUAGAGGACCAUUUUGAACAUUUUCUCAGUAGCUGGGGAAGUAUCCAGAGUAGAAAAAUGAGGAGAAAGACAGGAAAUGGGAGGGAAAGUGGCCAUCACCAGCAAUAAACUUCAUCUAUUGGCAUGGAAUUGUGGGAACAAUGUAGCCAGCUUAUUGGAAAUGGGACAUCUUAAAUCUUAUUAUAGGCAACAAUCUUCCAAAAGUCAAUUAAAAUGCGUGAAAAUAUAUCCUUCAGUGACACCAAGGUGGAAGUUCAGGCAUGGAAACUUUCUUUUCACGAACACCCCUAACUGGGCUAACUCUUUGUUUAACAAUAGAAAGCACCAGGCAGUACCAUUAAUCAGCUAAAUGUAAAUGUGGAAAAUUACUUUUUUUGCAAGAAUCAUGAUAGGAGAUUUUUUUCCCCCAAGCAUUUUGUAGAAUAAAAAAAAAUACAUGGAAAGUGUUUUGUUUAUUAUUGAAAUAAAGCAAAAAUCAAAAUUCAUGGUUAAGUGUUCAACUCUUGAAAGCAGCAUUACUGUCCUUGCUUAGGGAGUAAAUAAAGAAUAUUUUGUAGAAUUGGAGCCCCAGUAAGGAUGUUGGCAACAAAGCAUUGCAAUUCCAGCAGUAGAUUCUUAGUUCCAACUCUGGCACUGGAAUCUCUGUGACCUAGGGCAACUGACUUAAUCUCCCUGGCCUCAGUUUUCAUCUUGAGUUGGAGAAAGAUGGCAUUGGACAGGGUCCCUGGCAUCAUUAACAUUCUAGGAUCACUUUUGUGACCACAUUCCUGACUUCUGCCAUAGACAUUAAUGCUUACAUCUUUUAUCAUAGCCAUAAAUAUUGUUUCUUUUAACACUCACAGAUGAUCAGUGUUGUCAGUUGCCCUCACUGAAGGCUCCCAUAAUCAAACCUCUAAGCACUGUAGGCCUGGCAAACCUUCAGGUUUUCUGAAACCCUCAUACAGGGGGAUACUCAGCAUUAAACUACUCUGCUCAGAGUGAGGAGUGAACACCUCUCAGAGAAAUAGGAGCCCCAGCAACCGUAGACCUACCCAGAGGUGAGAGCAGAGGCUCCACCCUACUUGUAAGUGCAGCUGUAGUGUUGGAGCCAUUUCCAACUUGGCCACUCAUCAAUGACAUGACUUGGAACAAGUCCUU